Non-coding RNA from Phoenix dactylifera (date palm), 374 nucleotides. The record is from RefSeq and is a predicted model, not a curated record. NCBI's taxonomy places the organism in Eukaryota, Viridiplantae, Streptophyta, Magnoliopsida, Arecales, Arecaceae.
ACACGGAUCCGAAAGACCCACCGACUUCAUCGCCUCUCUAAAUAGGACCCUUCCAUGGCUCUGAUUUCGGUAACCGCAGCCGAGGGAGCGAGACAAUGAGCAAGCGAAAGAGAAAGAGAAGCCUCUUGGGUUUACUCUUUGGUUCUUUAGCCUAGACCGUUUGUUUUUGGAUGAAUUACAGGGAAUGUGGAAUUCCUUCGGUUAGAAUUGAACUUUUCAUUUAUCUCUCUAAGAUCUUUGAUCCUUUGCUAGUUUUAUUUAUUUCUCAUGUUUUUGGUGCCGUUUCUCUUGUUGGUUAGUUCAGAUCGUUUUGAAUGUGAAUGAGUUUCGGAGGAUAUCAAGGUAUUUUGAUAAACAUUAAUCUUUUUGUGUUA